AAAAAUUAAUUGUAUUAUACUAAAGUAGUAUUAGUUAAGUUCUUGAAAUUUAAAAAAUUUGGCGGUAUUUUAGUCUAUUCAGAGGAACCUGUUUAUUAAUCGAUAAUCCACGUUGGACCUUACUUAGUUUAUAUUUAGUUUAUAUAUCGUUGUUUAUAGAAUAUUUUAUAAAAAAAAUAAUUUUCGUAAAUUUUUAUUUAAAAAUAUAUCAGAUCAAGAUGUAGCUAAUAGCUAAGAAUUUAAUGGGUUACAAUAAAUUUAUUUAUUGGAUUUAGACUUGAAAUUUUUUAAUGAAAAUGGAUUUGACUGUAAAUUUAUAAAGAUAAAUAAGUUGAUUUUAGCUCUAAAAUAUG
Molecule: ribosomal RNA, 353 nt
Filed under: Pipunculus tibialis
Lineage: Eukaryota; Metazoa; Arthropoda; Insecta; Diptera; Pipunculidae
Description: partial 12S ribosomal RNA
Source: RNAcentral